This 943-nucleotide ribosomal RNA is filed under the name Pediococcus acidilactici. Its description in RNAcentral is "bacterial SSU rRNA". It matches the Rfam family "Bacterial small subunit ribosomal RNA", at positions 51 to 948 of the family's 1533-position model. Lineage: Bacteria; Bacillati; Bacillota; Bacilli; Lactobacillales; Lactobacillaceae. The record is from RNAcentral.
AUACAUGCAAGUCGAACGAACUUCCGUUAAUUGAUCAGGACGUGCUUGCACUGAAUGAGAUUUUAACACGAAGUGAGUGGCGGACGGGUGAGUAACACGUGGGUAACCUGCCCAGAAGCAGGGGAUAACACCUGGAAACAGAUGCUAAUACCGUAUAACAGAGAAAACCGCCUGGUUUUCUUUUAAAAGAUGGCUCUGCUAUCACUUCUGGAUGGACCCGCGGCGCAUUAGCUAGUUGGUGAGGUAACGGCUCACCAAGGCGAUGAUGCGUAGCCGACCUGAGAGGGUAAUCGGCCACAUUGGGACUGAGACACGGCCCAGACUCCUACGGGAGGCAGCAGUAGGGAAUCUUCCACAAUGGACGCAAGUCUGAUGGAGCAACGCCGCGUGAGUGAAGAAGGGUUUCGGCUCGUAAAGCUCUGUUGUUAAAGAAGAACGUGGGUGAGAGUAACUGUUCACCCAGUGACGGUAUUUAACCAGAAAGCCACGGCUAACUACGUGCCAGCAGCCGCGGUAAUACGUAGGUGGCAAGCGUUAUCCGGAUUUAUUGGGCGUAAAGCGAGCGCAGGCGGUCUUUUAAGUCUAAUGUGAAAGCCUUCGGCUCAACCGAAGAAGUGCAUUGGAAACUGGGAGACUUGAGUGCAGAAGAGGACAGUGGAACUCCAUGUGUAGCGGUGAAAUGCGUAGAUAUAUGGAAGAACACCAGUGGCGAAGGCGGCUGUCUGGUCUGUAACUGACGCUGAGGCUCGAAAGCAUGGGUAGCGAACAGGAUUAGAUACCCUGGUAGUCCAUGCCGUAAACGAUGAUUACUAAGUGUUGGAGGGUUUCCGCCCUUCAGUGCUGCAGCUAACGCAUUAAGUAAUCCGCCUGGGGAGUACGACCGCAAGGUUGAAACUCAAAAGAAUUGACGGGGGCCCGCACAAGCGGUGGAGCAUGUGGUUUA